CCCCCAAGAAAUUUUAACGGUGGGCGUUCAAUCCCCGCUGUUUUCUGUGGUGUGGUCCAGCUAGGCUUGAAUCUACAUCAUUUUUUUUUGGAUCAUGCCCUAAACGGAGCUGUCAAGACGGAUGGACGGCGUGGAUAAAACACAUACAUCACGGUGGGCCCCACAGAGCUCAUCACGGUGGGCCACAGGCAUUCCGCUUCCAUAGGCAACGACUGCUGAUGAGAUGAUUUUGUUGUCUUCCUCGAUCCAUCCGUGUUUCCCUUUCGUUCUCGAAAAAAGCAAAAAAAAUUCAGUGGCCGAUUCACGAAAUCUCCAAGUUCAAAACAUGAUAAAUAUCAUCAGAUCAUCUUCCUCAAAACCCAACAGAGAAAACCCAUCAAUCUCUUCCCCUCUUUUGAUUUCUCCUCUUCUGUAGAAGUAUUUGUAUAUAUUAAAGAAAUAAAAUGUUGGGAUUUUUUACAUUGCAGUGCUUGAUUGAUUUGUUGGUAGCAGGGAUUUCUCUAAUGAUUGGGCUGGGAAUCUUCGCCCUCAUUCUUUCAAUUCUCUGCUCAGCUGCUUUCUUGCACAAUGCAAAGGAGGUCUCUUAGAUAGAUAGAGAGAAAGAUAGAUUGAUUUUCUAUCCUGAGUUUAAAUAUUUGGCUUCAAUGAUGGUUUUCAGGUUUAAUCCUUGAAUCAAUGAUCCAAACUCAUGCUAGGGCGUUUCCUGUAAGCGACGUGUUUCGUCAGAAUCUGGAUGCAGUGAGAAAUGUGCAGGGGUUGGCUAGGGCGUCCUCCAGAAGCGGUGCACUGCAACAACGCCCUGGUUUCCGUGAGAAGUAAGCAAGGGUUCCUGUGCUAUUUUGGACGUAUGUGAUAAAGAAGCUAGUCCAAAAGUAUAGGAUUCUUGUUGCCACAUUGAAUAUAAGAACAUUGACAGGAAACUUACAUUCAGCGGGGGGAUUAUAAUUGAAGAAAUGGGAGUUUAGUUUGCAAGGACUAUGAAUGUAGUGUGCACUUUUGGAGCUAUGUUUUGUAGGUAUGAUUUAAGAAUGUUGUGCUACUGUUGUACUUACUGUUUUCAUUUUUCGGUCAAGUACAGAAUCAUGUUAUGAUUACAAGUAGGAAUGUUGUAUCGGGUGGACCAUGUUUCCAGUUUCGAAUUUACUUCUUGAGAGAAUAUAAGCAUUUCCACUGGUAGAACCGAA
Molecule: RNA transcript, 1184 nt
Organism: Magnolia sinica
Lineage: Eukaryota; Viridiplantae; Streptophyta; Magnoliopsida; Magnoliales; Magnoliaceae
Exons: 4
Source: RefSeq, a predicted model, not a curated record